UACGGAGGGAGCUAGCGUUGUUCGGAUAUAUUGGGCGUAAAGCGCACGUAGGCGGCGCCGUAAGUCAGGGAUGAAAUCCCGGAGCUCAACUCCGGAACUGCCCUUGAAACUGCAGUGCUAGAAUCUUGGAGAGGCGAGUGGAAUUCCGAGUGUAGAGGUGAAAUUCGUAGAUAUUCGGAAGAACACCAGUGGCGAAGGCGACUCGCUGGACAAGUAUUGACGCUGAGGUGCGAAAGCGUGGGGAGCAGACAGG
RNAcentral lists this ribosomal RNA (253 nucleotides) under uncultured bacterium. Its description in RNAcentral is "partial 16S ribosomal RNA". It matches the Rfam family "Bacterial small subunit ribosomal RNA", at positions 524 to 776 of the family's 1533-position model. The record is from RNAcentral.